AAUUCGAUGAUAGCCGAAGAACCUUACCAGGUCUUGACAUCCCCUGCAAAGCUAUGGAGACAUAGUGGAGGUUAUCAGGGAGACAGGUGGUGCAUGGUUGUCGUCAGCUCGUGUCGUGAGAUGUGGUUAAGUCCGCAACGAGCGCAACCCCUAUUGUUAGUUGCCAUCAUUCAGUUGGGCACUCUAGCGAGACUGCCGGUAAUAAACCGGAGGAAGGUGGGAUGACGUCAAAUCAUCAUGCCCCUUAUGACCUGGGCUACACACGUGCUACAAUGGUUGGUACAACGAGUUGCGAGUCGGUGACGGCGAGCUAAUCUCUUAAAGCCAAUCUCAGUUCGGAUUGUAGGCUGCAACUCGCCUACAUGAAGUCGGAAUCGCUAGUAAUCGCGGAUCAGCACGCCCGCGGUUCCGAAUACGUUCCGGGCCUU
Molecule: ribosomal RNA, 428 nt
Filed under: uncultured Streptococcus sp.
Lineage: Bacteria; Bacillati; Bacillota; Bacilli; Lactobacillales; Streptococcaceae
Description: bacterial SSU rRNA
Rfam family: Bacterial small subunit ribosomal RNA
Source: RNAcentral